RNAcentral lists this long non-coding RNA (224 nucleotides) under Lathyrus oleraceus (garden pea). RNAcentral's name for it is "Pisum sativum (pea) long non-coding RNA (PSAT_LNC026230)". Lineage: Eukaryota; Viridiplantae; Streptophyta; Magnoliopsida; Fabales; Fabaceae. The record is from RNAcentral.
GCAGUAAGUGUAACUAUUUCGUCAUCCUCAAUCUUUUUCAUAUUGGAUAGGAUUUCCUUAAGAUAUUUGGCGUAGGAGGGCAUUUGUGUGACGGCUUCUGUAAAGGGUAUCGUAAUGUUUAAUUGCUUCAUAAGUUCAACAAAUUUCCUAAAUUGAUUCGCAGUUUUAGAACUUUUGAGUCUUUGAGGAUACGAAACGGGUGGUUUAUAAGGAGGUGAAGGCAC